This 419-nucleotide ribosomal RNA is filed under the name Rhizobium sp. Its description in RNAcentral is "bacterial SSU rRNA". It matches the Rfam family "Bacterial small subunit ribosomal RNA", at positions 27 to 477 of the family's 1533-position model. Lineage: Bacteria; Pseudomonadati; Pseudomonadota; Alphaproteobacteria; Hyphomicrobiales; Rhizobiaceae. The record is from RNAcentral.
GAACGAACGCUGGCGGCAGGCUUAACACAUGCAAGUCGAGCGCAUCCUUCGGGGUGAGCGGCAGACGGGUGAGUAACGCGUGGGAAUCUACCUUUUGCUACGGAAUAGCUCCGGGAAACUGGAAUUAAUACCGUAUGUGCUCUUUGGCGGUGGACGCUGGAGAGGAAAGAUUUAUCGGCAAAGGAUGAGCCCGCGUUGGAUUAGCUAGUUGGUGGGGUAAAGGCCUACCAAGGCGACGAUCCAUAGCUGGUCUGAGAGGAUGAUCAGCCACAUUGGGACUGAGACACGGCCCAAACUCCUACGGGAGGCAGCAGUGGGGAAUAUUGGACAAUGGGCGCAAGCCUGAUCCAGCCAUGCCGCGUGUGUGAUGAAGGCCUUAGGGUUGUAAAGCACUUUCACCGGUGAAGAUAAUGACGGUA